AAAACCCUGCGGGAUUCGUGAUUGUAGGGAAAGUUUGGAGCCAACACCUCUAAAAUAGGGAUGAUACGCACCGUGGUGUGCAGGCCUGCCCCGUAGCAGGAAGCCUAAAGCGGUGGAGAUUCCCAAAGUACCUGGUUAGCCAGGGCUUUAAACCGACUCUGCACACGGUCUUGCGGGGUUUUU
RNAcentral lists this non-coding RNA (183 nucleotides) under Calditerrivibrio nitroreducens DSM 19672. RNAcentral describes it as "6S / SsrS RNA". It matches the Rfam family "6S / SsrS RNA". Rfam says of the family: E. coli 6S RNA was the first non coding RNA to be sequenced, but its function was unknown until recently. It consists of 184 nucleotides that fold into an extended hairpin structure with a large single-stranded internal bulge. The 6S RNA specifically associates with RNA polymerase holoenzyme containing the sigma70 specificity factor. Lineage: Bacteria; Pseudomonadati; Deferribacterota; Deferribacteres; Deferribacterales; Calditerrivibrionaceae. The record is from Rfam by way of RNAcentral.